GUCUGUGCCCUGUGGAAAUGAAUGCCUUUCGUCUAUGUUAUAAACUGUACACAAAACGAGAAAAAUGUCUUGCACUUCAGCCUGAAAAAGGUCACAGGUGGUGACGUGCAGUACUGUGCCAAAUUAGAAUCAUCAGAAAAAUGUUUGUAGGGCAAAAACAAGCCCAACCACACAGGGAUAGAAAAAAUGUGCACUUUCCCACCUACUGAUGCAGUUUGUCACAGGGAUAGAAAGAGAAAAGCACCCAAUGCUUAUUCAACCCAUUCGGAGACAGGAAAUUGAGAGUAAAGAUCCAUUCACAUUUGGUUUCUCCCACAUACAGUGUAUUUCAGCCGCAUAUGAUCAAAUAUACAACUCAGUGUUGCAAUCAAAAAAGUGUUUAAUACACCGAGUCCUCCUAAAUCUAUCUGUCAUAUUAUGUGAUUCCUUGAUAUAAGGUCACUGACCCCCAAGUUGGGGUCAGUGCCCAGAAUGGGCCAAUGUUUCUUUAAGAUUUUUCGAAUCUCAGUGCUCAAAUUAGAGAAGAUACAAAUAAAUCUAAUAUUAUCAGC
Xenopus tropicalis (tropical clawed frog) is the source of this 551-nucleotide long non-coding RNA. RefSeq lists it as uncharacterized. The record is from RefSeq and is a predicted model, not a curated record. Lineage: Eukaryota; Metazoa; Chordata; Amphibia; Anura; Pipidae. The transcript is spliced from 2 exons.